GUCUCUAAACGUUGGUUUUAACAUUGAAUGCUUGCAUGUUGGAGGAGGCAAGGAAAGCCUUGUGAUUGUCUCGGAGGAGCUAAACGCCUAGCCUAGUGUUCAUAUCAUCAGAUGGGCUGCAUGCAUUCUUUUUAUGUUUUAUGUUUCAUUUAUUCAUACCUCAAAAAUAGACUAAGCUCAUUAUGAUGCUCAAGGGUAAUGAGGUUAUCACAAUUUUGGACACAAUUCGAUCAUGAAAUAAUCCACAAUGAAAAUUAAAAUGACCACUUUCAUUGCAAAGUUCACAAGGAGGGCGAGAAAUAUUAAGUCUUUCAGCACAAACAUAUAGCCUCUCUUGCAACCAUUUAGUUUCUAAAUACUUACGCGUCUUAUAAAAUUUACCUUCCCAUUUAGGCAUGUCUUCACAAACUCUUUGCACUCCAUAAAAAUUAACAUGCUUAUAAGAAAUCUUUUUAUCAUGACUAGUGCAAUCAUCAUUAGUACUACUACUAGUCAUCAACCCGUGUGUCCGCAGGGUCUAGUGCAUAGUACAUAUGAAUUCAUAUGAGUGCACUUCCUGUUUGAUAUGGAUAUACCCUGAAAUUGUGGCUCAUGCUGUCAUGACCAGUUUUAUAUUAGUAUAAUAUUUCUAUUCAGGUUUGUGCCAUAAAUUGUUUUGUGGCACCAUUGUAUUGGAUGUUAUACAUCAGUAGUAGGACGUCACUGUCAUCUCAAUCCACAUGUUCUCUCUCCCGCUCUCUAUCAAGUCACACUUUCUUUCUCACACUUAGCAUCUCAGUCACAAUAUAUGUGUCUAUGUGUGUCUAUUUCACACUCACUCACCUAUCUUUAUCUCCAACUUAUCACCAGCCUACAGGUCACGUGUUAGUCACUACUACAUGCGAGUAAGUCACGUGCCCCACAAGAUGCAACGGCCCACAAUUGAUUCAAACGUAUCCUUGUAUUUCUAGAAUGUCUAGAAGAUCGUUGAACUUUUUGAAGUUUUUUUAACUUGUGGAACAUUCUUUGUCUUCCGAAAAAAUAACAAUUAUUUAGGUAGGAGUCCCCUAUAAUUUAGGAACACAUAGCCCACCGGUGAAAUGUCCAAAAUUAUUUUGAAAAUGGCUUUGAACCCUUGCUCGUAAGUAUCGGAUAAAUACAUUUUUACUUAGAAAUAAUUGUUACGGAUGCCAUCCUUAUAUUUCUAAAUUUUGGAAGUUCAUAUGAGUUUUAGGCGUUAGUUUGUACUGAAUUCUUUGAAGAUCGACCAUAUUUUCUAAAAGUUCCAUUAAAUUAUUGGAAGCACAUAACUAAGAUUUUAAAUGUUAGUUUGUACUUUUCUAGAAAUUGACCCGACUAUCAAAAGACGGGUUGUAUGUUCUAUUAAGAAGAGUUAAAAUUUAUGGGAAGAAAAUUCUUGGACUACUGAAACCUCUUAAACUUUUUGGAGGUGUAACAUUUGCUAAUAUUUUUGAAAAUCGAUUUUAGUUUAGAAUAUGUUUAGCUGGUAUUCUAGCCUAUGAUUAGUAGGUUUAUCUAGCGACACCAAUGCCAUAAAUUUAUCUGGAAGUGAGCACACGCCUUCUACUGGUUACUAUGAACUUAUAUGUUUUUUGGAUUACACAAUAUUUUUAUGUGCAUAAUAAUUAAUAUCUUAAUUACUGAACUUCAAGUGCACACCUCAACUUCUAAAGUCGGUGGUUUUCUGGCGCACUUGCAUCCAUUUAGCAAUUUAUACGUAUUUUAAAAUCUCAGAUUUGGUUAUUACAUAUAUUUGCCAGUCAAAUUCAGAAUAUGUUUUUGCACUAAAUUAUUUACAUUUUAAGAAAACAGUAAAUGCGUGCAUACAUGAAUUGUUAUUUAUAAAUGUGAUUUAUGGACGGGAUUGGUAUUGUAUGCAUCCAUACAUGCAUUUUUAUUGUCUGAGUGUUGUUGAAAGAUAAAGUGUACGAGUUGUGUUUUUGGAAGUGAGCAAUUACCUUUUUUUGUUGGGUAAACGGAUAAUUCGUUUGUUGUACCUACAUGAAAAUACAACAAUGCAAAAGAUUGUACGUUACUUUUAUAACAAAGGAACACAAAUACAUUUAUCUAUGAGAUAUCUCAAGCUCCGUUAAACAUCCAUGUGUAAUUGUAUUAGUAUGUUUCAAAGGAAAAAUAAGUUAGCUUGUUAGGUGGUAUUAGUUUAUAGUACGUUUCCACACGAUAACAUGCAUGGACUCUCUUUUUUCCUAGGUGAAGAUGCAUGGACUUUCUAUGGCUUUCCUUUGUUUAUUGAGGCGUUCCUAAUUUUCUUCAACGUGAGGCAUCCUUUUUUAUUUUGAAGGAACGGCUCGAGGCUUUCCUCACGUGAGCAUUUUCUUUUUAUUCUGAGCAAACCGAUCGACCAUUUAUUUGUCUUGUAUAUCAUAAACAUUUGACGUGCUACAUGCCUUUUUUUGUGGGACGGGGC
This 2428-nucleotide long non-coding RNA is filed under the name Hordeum vulgare. RNAcentral describes it as "long non-coding RNA (HVUL_LNC017573)". Lineage: Eukaryota; Viridiplantae; Streptophyta; Magnoliopsida; Poales; Poaceae. The record is from RNAcentral.